Molecule: long non-coding RNA, 732 nt
Organism: Oryza sativa Japonica Group (Japanese rice)
Lineage: Eukaryota; Viridiplantae; Streptophyta; Magnoliopsida; Poales; Poaceae
Source: RefSeq, a predicted model, not a curated record
ACGCUGCCUUUCCCCUUCUCUUGCAAAGCUAGGUUAGGGUUUUCUUCUCUUCUCCCUUUCCCGUCGUCGCCGCCAUCUCUCUUCUCGCCGUGCGGCUUUCUCUCUCGUGAGCACAGCACGGCGCGGUCUCCGCGCUUCCCUCCUCCCCUCCCUUUCUUCGGCUUGGCCCUGGUGGGUGUGUGAGCGCUCAGCUCCGUAUCGGUGACUCGUCGUCCUCCUCGUAUCCUGCUUGACCUGAUUGCACGUGCACCCAUUAGAGUUGGAGAAGACCAACCUCCUCCUUCCUGGGACCUUGUACCCUCUCCAAGAGAUUGCUCGUGAACCAACUAUAGUUGGAGAAGAAAUUUUCUGGGGAGCGAAAUAAAGGAAAUGCAAUGUGUUGCUGACUUUGUGGGGAAUGGGAGGAAGUCCUGAUAUUUUUUUUAUAUGUAGGGUAAUACUUAUGAUCUUUUCAAGACAUUCUUGAAAGCAAGCAUGGGUGGCUUUCUGGUAUGGACAUGCAGGAAGAGCACUUCUAUUCAGGGUGAAGACAUCCAUUGGAGCAAGCAUUGGUGUUGGAUGUAAUUGUUGCCAUUGUGACAUGUCAGGUCUUCAACAAUGCCUCAAUGCUGUUCUGAUUGUACUCUUUUGAUCAAGCCGAUGUGCCUAUUUGUGUUUUCUAUUUUCCUUUGAAAUGGACAUAUGCUGCUUUUGAUUAUACCAUCACCAGUGCAGUACUGUUUUCAGGUGAAA